GAUCAUGGCUCAGGAUGAACGCUAGCUACAGGCUUAACACAUGCAAGUCGAGGGGCAGCAUAUUUCUAGCAAUAGAGAUGAUGGCGACCGGCGCACGGGUGAGUAACGCGUAUCCAACCUGCCCACCACUUGGGGAUAACCUUGCGAAAGUAAGACUAAUACCCAAUGACAUCCCACGAAGACAUCUGAAUGGGAUUAAAGAUUUAUCGGUGAUGGAUGGGGAUGCGU
This 228-nucleotide ribosomal RNA is filed under the name uncultured bacterium. RNAcentral describes it as "partial 16S ribosomal RNA". It matches the Rfam family "Bacterial small subunit ribosomal RNA", at positions 15 to 236 of the family's 1533-position model. The record is from RNAcentral.